CAGUAAGAAUGGAAUCAGAUUUUGCUCACAAACUCAUGACAUGGACUAGAAGACAUGAUGUAUAUCAGUAAUGAUUUUAUAAUCUGCUUCUCAAAGUAACAGAUAGCAGAUGGGUGGACCAGGAGGAAGGACUAGAAGCAUCUGGAACCUUGCUGACGCAACGGACAGCAGAUGGGUGGACCAAGAGGAAGGACUAGAAGCAUUUGGAACCUUGCUGACGCAACGGACAGCAGAUGGGUGGACCAAGAGGAAGGACGAGAAGCAUCUGGAUCCUUGCGGACAGUAAGAACAGAACCAGAUUUGGCACCCAAACCCAUGACAUGAACUAGAAAACAUGAUGUGUAUCAGUCAUGAUUUUAACAUCUGCUUCUCAAAGCAACGGACAGCAGAUGGGUGGACCAAGAGGAAGGACUAGAAGCAUUUGGAACCUUGCUGACGCAACGGACAGCAGAUGGGUGGACCAAGAGGAAGGACUAGAAGCAUCUGGAACCUUGCUUAUGGUAAAAAUGGAACCAGAUUUGGCUCCCAAACUCAUGACAUGGACUAGAAGACAUGAUGUAUAUCAGUAAUGAUUUUAACAUCUGCUUCUCAAAGCAACGGACAGCAGAUGGGUGGACCAAGAGGAAGGACUAGAAGCAUCUGGAACCUUGCUGAUGGUAAAAAUGGAAACAGAUUUGGCUCCCAAACUCAUGACAUGGACUAGAAGACAUGAUGUAUAUCAGUAAUGAUUUCAUAAUCUGUUUCUGAAAGCAACAGACAGCAGAUGG
Long non-coding RNA from Thalassophryne amazonica, 767 nucleotides. RefSeq lists it as uncharacterized. The record is from RefSeq and is a predicted model, not a curated record. NCBI's taxonomy places the organism in Eukaryota, Metazoa, Chordata, Actinopteri, Batrachoidiformes, Batrachoididae. The transcript has 4 exons.